RNAcentral lists this ribosomal RNA (1154 nucleotides) under Vibrio parahaemolyticus. Its description in RNAcentral is "partial 23S ribosomal RNA". It matches the Rfam family "Bacterial large subunit ribosomal RNA", at positions 1698 to 2925 of the family's 2925-position model. Lineage: Bacteria; Pseudomonadati; Pseudomonadota; Gammaproteobacteria; Vibrionales; Vibrionaceae. The record is from RNAcentral.
ACUCGGGUGAAGGAACUAGGCAAAAUGGUACCGUAACUUCGGGAGAAGGUACGCUCUCGACGGUGAAGUCCCUCGCGGAUGGAGCUAUUGAGAGUCGCAGAUACCAGGUGGCUGCAACUGUUUAUUAAAAACACAGCACUGUGCAAAAUCGUAAGAUGACGUAUACGGUGUGACGCCUGCCCGGUGCCGGAAGGUUAAUUGAUGGGGUUAGACUUCGGUCGAAGCUCUUGAUCGAAGCCCCGGUAAACGGCGGCCGUAACUAUAACGGUCCUAAGGUAGCGAAAUUCCUUGUCGGGUAAGUUCCGACCUGCACGAAUGGCGUAAUGAUGGCCACGCUGUCUCCACCCGAGACUCAGUGAAAUUGAAAUCGCUGUGAAGAUGCAGUGUACCCGCGGCUAGACGGAACCACCCUUGUAGUGUUGAUGUUCUAACGUCGACCCCUUAUCGGGGUUGCGGACAGUGCCUGGUGGGUAGUUUGACUGGGGCGGUCUCCUCCCAAAGAGUAACGGAGGAGCACGAAGGUGGGCUAAUCACGGUUGGACAUCGUGAGGUUAGUGCAAUGGCAUAAGCCCGCUUGACUGCGAGAAUGACAAUUCGAGCAGGUGCGAAAGCAGGUCAUAGUGAUCCGGUGGUUCUGAAUGGAAGGGCCAUCGCUCAACGGAUAAAAGGUACUCCGGGGAUAACAGGCUGAUACCGCCCAAGAGUUCAUAUCGACGGCGGUGUUUGGCACCUCGAUGUCGGCUCAUCACAUCCUGGGGCUGAAGUCGGUCCCAAGGGUAUGGCUGUUCGCCAUUUAAAGUGGUACGCGAGCUGGGUUUAGAACGUCGUGAGACAGUUCGGUCCCUAUCUGCCGUGGGCGUUGGAAGAUUGAAGGGGGCUGCUCCUAGUACGAGAGGACCGGAGUGGACGAACCUCUGGUGUUCGGGUUGUGUCGCCAGACGCAUUGCCCGGUAGCUAAGUUCGGAAUCGAUAACCGCUGAAAGCAUCUAAGCGGGAAGCGAGCCCUGAGAUGAGUCUUCCCUGAUACUUUAAGUAUCCUAAAGGGUUGUCGGAGACUACGACGUUGAUAGGUCAGGUGUGUAAGUGCUGUGAGGCAUUGAGCUAACUGAUACUAAUUGCCCGUGAGGCUUAACCAUACAACACCCAAGGGGUUU